UGCUAUAAUUGUCAGCUAAGUGGCGCACGGGUGAGUAAUGUAUAGAUAACCUGCCCUUAAGAAAGGAAUAACAGUUGGAAACGACUGCUAAUGCCCUAUAUGCCUUUAAUACAUAAGUAUGCAAGGGAAACGCUUUAGUGCUUAAGGAUGGGUCUGUAUGGUAUCAGCUUGUUGGUGAGGUAAUGGCUCACCAAGGCUAUGACGCCUAACUGGUUUGAGAGGAUGAUCAGUCACACUGGAACUGAGACACGGUCCAGACUCCUACGGGAGGCAGCAGUGGGGAAUAUUGCACAAUGGACGAAAGUCUGAUGCAGCAACGCCGCGUGGAGGAUGACACAUUUCGGUGCGUAAACUCCUUUUAUAUAGGAAGAUAAUGACGGUACUAUAUGAAUAAGCACCGGCUAACUCCGUGCCAGCAGCCGCGGUAAUACGGAGGGUGCAAGCGUUACUCGGAAUCACUGGGCGUAAAGAGCGUGUAGGCGGGUAUAUAAGUCAGAAGUGAAAUCCAAUAGCUCAACUAUUGAACUGCUUUUGAAACUGUAUACCUAGAAUGUGGGAGAGGUAGAUGGAAUUUCUGGUGUAGGGGUAAAAUCCGUAGAGAUCAGAAGGAAUACCGAUUGCGAAGGCGAUCUACUGGAACAUUAUUGACGCUGAGACGCGAAAGCGUGGGGAGCAAACAGGAUUAGAUACCCUGGUAGUCCACGCCCUAAACGAUGUACACUAGUUGUUGUGAGGCUCGACCUUGCAGUAAUGCAGUUAACACAUUAAGUGUACCGCCUGGGGAGUACGGUCGCAAGAUUA
This 801-nucleotide ribosomal RNA is filed under the name uncultured bacterium. RNAcentral's name for it is "bacterial SSU rRNA". It matches the Rfam family "Bacterial small subunit ribosomal RNA", at positions 74 to 896 of the family's 1533-position model. The record is from RNAcentral.